This 829-nucleotide long non-coding RNA is filed under the name Pongo abelii (Sumatran orangutan). RNAcentral describes it as "lincRNA". The record is from RNAcentral. Lineage: Eukaryota; Metazoa; Chordata; Mammalia; Primates; Hominidae.
GCUUUCAUAGUACUCUUCUGACCAUGGUUUUCUGGAGUUUUUUCAUAUGGAGUUUGUAAGCUUCCUGACAUGUUAUUUUUGGUAGAUUUUGAUGGAUGUACAUUGAUGGAUAGCCACAUGGAUCCAGAAAAUAAAGACUUCUACUGUGCAUAUUGACUAAAGCAAAAGAUAUGCAAGGAAGCUCAGUCUCUCAGUUGAGUGGAUUCUGAAAUUUAUCCUGUUGUCUUCAGCUACUAAGGCUAAUUUGCAAAUCACACUGUGCACGGAAUGUGUGUGUCCCACCCCUGCAGUACUUCAGCAUUCUGAGGUAAAAAGACAAUUGGCUUACUGCAUCUUAGAAAGGUUUAUUGAUUUUGUUAUUGCUACAACUAUCAUGGGAGCAGAGGCAGCAAUUUCUCAAGCCUAGUUCCAAAAGGAUUAAACCUGACCAAGAUUUAUAAACAACCUGUUCAGUGGCUGCUGAUUAACUCCCAAAGAUUGAUGUACUGAAGAAGGAUGACCUCCCCUUGACACCAAUGCUACUAGUCAAUAGCAACCACUGUGACUCGGAACAAAUUCUCUGGGGGCAGGCAGUGAAGCUUCUUCUCUUGUUGACCUUACCAGACCACAAGGCUGAAAAUAUUCUGUGGCCUGAUGCCCUUAAAUUGAUCAUAUUAAUACAAUCAAGCAGAAAAGAAAUUAUUUUUCCCGCUCUCUGUCUAUACAUAUACUUACUACUAUAGUGUAGUAUAUAUAUAUAUAUACACACACUAUAUAUGUGUGUAUAUAUAUGCUAUAUAUGUGUGUGUGUAUAUAUAUAGCAGUACAUAUAGAUAUAAUUAGUAUAUAU